UUUUUUUUUUUUUUUAAUUUUUUUUUUUAACUCUCCACAGAAAACUAAUCAGGUGGCACCUUCCCAUGUGGAAAUUUCCUUGCAGAUACAUUAAUCUACAAAUUAUUUUUACCCUGUAUGCCCCUGAUAACAAUUGCAUUAAUAUAAGGAGAUAAACUCAUUUCUUUGGUUGCUGCUCAUAGAGCAGCUUGCUAGUUAAGAUAAAAACAAAUUAUGGGAUAUAAAAGACAUAUCUGAUUGUACAGUAAUACACUGUGUGCCAAGCAGUCGGUGAGGUAAGGUUUACAUAACUGCUACAUGUUCCUUGAACUUUUGAGAUAUAUUUCCAUGUCAUUUUUUUUCCUCUCAGGAGCCAAAACAGGGGCAGAACACAGAACAAGCAAUUAAGAGAAAUGUAAUUGUUUUGAUUGAAGUAAUUUGAGAUUACAGGUUGCAAGAGGGGUAAACAAUCUAGAAAGUGUUUUGAAGUCUUCGUCAUGUAGAUGCUUUCCUUUGGGGAAACUGUCCUUCCCUUCAGUGUGGGAGGACUCCCCUUAGGUGCAGAUUUGUAGAAGAAAAUUUUGACUCCAGUCAUAUGCUGCAAUAUUCUUUGACUGCUAUUAAUUCACUUAAUGACCCAGUCUGUUGUUCAGUGAAAUUGCUGUGUGCUCUCCUAGCGACGGUGAAAAAUAGCUUUUUCUGGGGACUGAUCCAAGCCCAGCUCCAGCUGGCUCUUCUAGAGGGAAAGGUUCCCUCUGCGCUUCUGAAAUGAACAUUUUUCCUCAGAAGAUCAGGAGGCAGCCAGGCCCCUGCACCAUCGUGUGAGGCUGGACUGUGGGGCCUCCCAUCGGCAUAACAAUAACUUGCCUCCACUUGUGUGUCCCCCACCUUGCCCUCCCUGGGCAUGAGCCUGCAAAGAAAUUUUCUUGGAAAACACAGAGAAAACAGAGCAAACCAGCCCCAGCCAUUUUCAUAACUCUAUGUAUAUAUAUAUAUGUAUGUAUGUAUAUCUCCUUCCAGUUCCCUUCCUCCUUCCUGCUGCCCAGUGACAGCAUAUUCACACAACAAAAACAGUGGCUUCUAAAAUAAUUUUCCCUGAAAAUUGUAGACUGCAGAGGUCUUUAUUACCAAUAACAUUAGAGGAAAAUGGAAAUGAGGCAUUGCACAGCUCUGGCCUGUUUAUGGCUCCUUUUCUUCAUUUUUCAUUUAAAUGAUGUACACAGAACAUUUAUUUGUUUAGAGGAAAGAUUGUGGAUUACUGGUGCAGCAUUCUGAUAGAUAUUUUAACAUAUUCAAGGAAAAGAAAAUUCAGUCUCACAAAUAGGCAUCUUGGAUUUCUUUUUUAUUUCUUACCAAAUUAAUUGCAGGCAGUUUAACACCCACUCUGUGCAAGUGUCUUCCUCUUUUUUUCUUUUUUUUUGACAAUUGAGCAAUUUUCUCACAUGUGCCAGUUUGUUAAAAUUUCUUUCUUUAUCUGUUUUCUUAUGAAUGGUUUCUGAAUUGACAAGACUUUGCCUUUUUGAUGGUGCACAGAGUCUGUUUGCACCAGCCUUAGUUAAAGUUAUCAGGAGUGAUCCAGCCACAGAAUGAAUUUCCUCCACCUUACCUUAUUUUACAGCUUGAAUUAGACCCUUGGAAUUCUCAAUUAUCACAUACUCAACAGCCAAGGAGUUUUGGGAAAUGCUUUUAAUCUUUAUAAUAUUUAAUAAAGUAAUCAUGUGCAUAUCAUUGAGGUGUUAAAAAUGCCAAUUCAUAAUCCAUCCCACCACUUCAAAGUAUCAUAUCAAAUAUAUUUUUCUAUUAGUUGUGGAAGCAAAUAUGCCAGUGCAUAGCCAGGACUAGCUAUGUAGUCUAUAAUGACAUCUAAUACUAAACAGAUAUUCUUCAAAUAUUUCAUUAAAUAGUUUGACCUAAUUCAUCCUGGCUAAUCAGACUUAGUUUAGUUCAAUCCUGCUGUUAAGCUUUCUUCAAAAUUCUCAUUAGCAUCAAUGGAAAUUCUAGAAAGAGCAGAUAAAUCAGUCUCUCAUUAUAGGACAGAUAAAUAACACUUUGGGUUUAUAUUUCUAGCUAAUAUAUGUAAUCAAAUUAUUUAAAAUAUAAACACUCAAAGCCUGUUCUGUGCCCUCAGGGAACCCUUUUAUCCCACUGCAGCAAAGCUGCAUAUAGCAGGAUAUAUUCCACUAAUACAGUCAAAAAUAUAUGGAUGUAUAAGAAUAAACAGCUUAAAAAAAAAAUCAUACUGUAAAUGAUGUGAUUGAGUGAAACUGUAUGUAUAUUUUUAAGUCUUCAGAAUAGUUGAAGUUUUAACUUAUUUCAAAAUUUUAAGUUGAAAUCUAUUCAUAUUUGGAAAUUUUGUACAACCUUGUAAAGUUAAAUACUAUGUCACUGUAAUUUAUUUUUGUUGUCAUAUAUUGACACAUGCUCAUUUAUAUAUGAAGUGUACUGUUUAUCAAUUGCUUCUAAGGCAGCAAUAAAAACAUGAAAGUUGUUCUCAU
This 2474-nucleotide long non-coding RNA is filed under the name Taeniopygia guttata (zebra finch). Its description in RNAcentral is "lncRNA (ENSTGUG00000028996.1)". Lineage: Eukaryota; Metazoa; Chordata; Aves; Passeriformes; Estrildidae. The record is from RNAcentral.